RNAcentral lists this ribosomal RNA (564 nucleotides) under uncultured Actinomycetes bacterium. RNAcentral describes it as "bacterial SSU rRNA". It matches the Rfam family "Bacterial small subunit ribosomal RNA", at positions 338 to 916 of the family's 1533-position model. Lineage: Bacteria; Bacillati; Actinomycetota; Actinomycetes. The record is from RNAcentral.
CCUACGGGAGGCAGCAGUGGGGAAUCUUGCGCAAUGGGCGAAAGCCUGACGCAGCAACGCCGCGUGCGGGAUGAAGGCCUUCGGGUUGUAAACCGCUUUUACCAGGAAGGAAAAUGACAGUACCUGGAGAAUAAGGUGCGGCCAACUACGUGCCAGCAGCCGCGGUGACACGUAGGCACCAAGCGUUGUCCGGAUUUAUUGGGCGUAAAGAGCUCGUAGGCGGUUCAGUAAGUCGGGUGUGAAAACUCUGGGCUCAACUCAGAGACGCCACCCGAUACUGCUGUGACUUGAGUCCGGUAGGGGAGUGGGGAAUUCCUGGUGUAGCGGUGAAAUGCGCAGAUAUCAGGAGGAACACCAAUGGCGAAGGCACCACUCUGGGCCGAGACUGACGCUGAGGAGCGAAAGCGUGGGUAGCAAACAGGAUUAGAUACCCUGGUAGUCCACGCCGUAAACGGUGGGCACUAGGUGUGGGUUCCAACCAACGGAAUCCGCGCCGGCGCUAACGCAUUAAGUGCCCCGCCUGGGGAGUACGGCCGCAAGGUUAAAACUCAAAGGAAUUGACGG